Molecule: unclassified non-coding RNA, 400 nt
Filed under: uncultured fungus
Lineage: Eukaryota; Fungi
Description: sequence contains ITS1
Source: RNAcentral
GGACUACUCGGGUAUCUAAUCCUGUUCGCUCCCCACGCUUUCGUGCCUGAGCGUCAGUUACGGUCUAGUAAGCUGCCUUCGCUAUCGGUGUUCUUUAUGGUAUCUAUGCAUUUCACCGCUACACCAUAAAUUCCGCCUACCUCGUCCGUACUCAAGUCCGCCAGUAUCAAUGGCAGUUUCUCGGUUGAGCCGAGAGAUUUCACCACUGACUUAACGGACCGCCUGCGCACCCUUUAAACCCAAUAAAUCCGGACAACGCUUGCACCCUCCGUAUUACCGCGGCUGCUGGCACGGAGUUAGCCGGUGCUUAUUCAUAUAGUACCGUCAAUUGGUCACGCAUGACCUUUUUCUUCCUAUAUAAAAGAAGUUUACAACCCAGAAGGCCUUCAUCCUUCACGCG